GUGAGCCAUUCCGCAAUUAAACGUAUUACCAUUGGUUUAAAUUAUUAUGUGGAAUUACUCGAUCUGUGGUUGUCCUACCCCCUGUCUGCCAAAGAUAGUUUUAUAAAGGACUCUGUUUGCCAAUAACUUGUCUUUGAUCAGUUGAUUGGGGAACCUGUUGCUCAGGGAAAGAGAGAGAGCAGAAAACGGCUACUGUUAUACAUGUAUUGUUUUUUUUCGGAAAUGGAAAUGAUUGUGGUUCUUAACCUCCAGCAGACGUCUUAGAGGAAAAAAUCAAUAGCUGUGAAGAGGAUAAUAAAUACCACUGAUCUAAUAGAGCAUAAUUCCAAAUCUGAGGGUAAUCUUAACCAGAAAAAUCAGCAAGGGAAUUAAGAUGCAAAUCAAGUUGAAAUGUAGCUGCUUGCAAGCUGCAGAGUCUGGAUGAAGAUCAAACUUGCUUAUCAGAGCCAUGCCCAAGUUUGGAGACCCAAUCAGAGAUGGAGAUGGAAGACACAACAUGUGGUGCUGUGGAUGUAUACGACAGCGAUGAUGAAUUUAAGAUUGUGAAACAGAAAAUAGAAGAGGAAAAGAAUACUGGAGAGGAUGUUAAGAAAACUGUGGCAAAAAGUUACAAGUAUCCUAAUCCUGGUCCAACUGGUACUACAUC
Molecule: long non-coding RNA, 646 nt
Organism: Magallana angulata
Lineage: Eukaryota; Metazoa; Mollusca; Bivalvia; Ostreida; Ostreidae
Exons: 7
Source: RefSeq, a predicted model, not a curated record